CAGAAAGAUAUUCACAAGCCAUGCUGCUGUGGGACUUCAGAACAACUCAGGGCCGGGAUACCUGAACAGCUUGUAGGGAACUGGGUGUGACGGUGCUCUCUGAGCCCAGCUGGGCAGGAGGGCUGUAAAUCUGAGCUCAGCCUGGGCGAUUUAGCAACUCAGUGAGGCACUGUAUCAAGAGGGAGAGAGAGAGGAGAGAGAAAAGAGAGAAAGGAAGAAAAAGAAAGGAAGGAAGAAAGAGAGAAAGAAAGGGAAAGAAAGAAAGAAGGCUGAGAAGGGAGUACAGUGUAGGAACCUUAGUUGCAAUCCCUGUUCUGGGAGGAGAAAGGCUUACAGGAAGAAGAAAAAGAGGCGAAAUAUAAAGACGCAGUUUCCCAGCAGCAGCCCUGGGAGGUCCAAGAUGCUGGUGCUGUCUGGAGCCAGGCAGUUCCCUCCCCGCAGUGCUGUCCUUGUAGAAACGACCAGUCCACUGCCAGGGCACAAGGAAGACGUGUCCGGAAGUUGGGGGCAGCAAUCAUUCCGCAAAGAAGUGGGGUCUUGAAAACGCUCCCGAGGCCAAGAGGCGAAACGUAAUGAGACGGAGAGCACUACAGAUAAAGGAAAAGCCCUCACAGGAAGCACAUGGAGUCUUCAGCUGGGUACAAACGGGGCGGGAGGAAGAGGGCCCCGCCCCGGAAGUCGUCUCCGGAAGUGCGGCCCUCGGCGCGGAUCCGAAGAUUUCCCCGGAGCGGCCGGAACCUGCUCUGCCCAGGCACCCUGUAUGGGUGUGGGGUCCGCUUGGGCUACCGAGACAAGACCAGGACGGUUUCACCAGCGUGUUCAUCCGCCAGGAAGAAUGAGCGCCAGGGGAAAAACACGCGUGGCCGGGGGCCUGUGUGGGCGUUGCCCAUCAGCUUCGCAGAGCACCCGAGGGACACGCGUGUGCCCCACUUUCCUCCUUCCACACGGCCGGCUAGGAGUCACCAGCCCAGCAUCCACAC
Molecule: long non-coding RNA, 980 nt
Filed under: Fukomys damarensis (Damara mole-rat)
Lineage: Eukaryota; Metazoa; Chordata; Mammalia; Rodentia; Bathyergidae
Description: lncRNA (ENSFDAG00000026827.1)
Source: RNAcentral